GGCGCCUCCACAGCAUCUCUGGAGCGUGGAGGGGCCCAGGUGAUGUGGUCCUGGAGGUGAUGGCAGAUUCCUGGAAGAGCGAGUUGGUGCUGGGACUUCCUUUCAUUGAAGUGGAGGCCAUGGUUCCCAAAGCGCACAGCAAGCUCUUGGAGGAAGGCCCAGGAGGGACCUUAUUUAUUGCUGUUGACACCACAUUCCCUGGGAGCCCACCUUGCACAGCGUCUCCCGCUGCCUGUGGGACCAUUCUGGUUGGAUGCUCUGCCCUCACUCAGCUCCUCUACCAGAAAGAACAGUAACCUCGCUCAGCAGAAAAUUGGCCUCUUGGAAACAACAGUGGCUGCCACUGGAUGGCUAGAAAUGCUUUUUUGCUUGGCUGUAGCUCUUUUAAUGUGAUGAACAUCAGCUGAUUUUGUAAAAAUAAUAAUAACUUUAAACCAAAUAUGAUUAAAUAGAAAAAAAUUAUCUGGAACUUUUCAGGGUUUAAAUGGUGUGUGUGUGUGUGUGUGUGUGUGUGUGUGUGUGUGUGUGUCUGUGUGUUCUAAUUUACUUUUAACCUGCUUUGCCUAUCUGGAUAUGUGUUCAUGAGAUUUUAGAAUUGGGAAAAUUUGAGUAUUGUAAGUCACCAGUUCACAUUUGAAAAGUUUUUGUGCAUAAUAUGAAACACCUUUUAUAAUUUAUUUAAGCAGUCCACUAUUGUUAGACUUUGAGUCGCUUCCAACUAAACUCCUAUUGUUGGACAUUUUGGUUGCUUCCAACUUGGCCCUAACAAACCAACGCAAAGCCAGAAUAACUGCAUGAAAAUAAAUUACAAUAAAGGAGAAGGGGAAAAGGAGGGAAACAAUCGGAGAAAUUCUGGGGGGGGGGAGGGGAGGAUAGACCAACUUGCUUAAAGAAAUAAAAGUUUUAAGAGCCCUUUUGUACGCAAAAUUUGCCAAUAUUUGCCCCCCAAAAAGGAAAAAACCCACAAAGCUAACAGUGAUUGUAGAUUAUUCAUUUUCAACCAAAUUAUUUUUAUUUUUAGAAACUGGCUCAACUAAGUUGUUUUAAACAAAAGCAUGUGCGUGUGUCCCCUUCUGGACCAACGCUUAUGUAGCCAGUUAGGGUGUUCAUGAUCAUCCAGCUAUAAACGGAAAAAAGUGUUUAUUUUAAUAUUUGUAGGAUUGCCUUCUAAAACCCAGUGCCUUUUUCUCAAAUCUCAAGCCCGGUGGUGGUCCUGAGAUGUUGCUGACUGGUCCACCGACAGCGUGACAUCUCCUUGCGUCUCCUCCUCAGCCCCGUCUCCUCCACAUUGAUCACCAGUCCCACUGUGACCUGUGUAGAAGGGGUGAGAAGGGUAGUUGUCUGGGUUCCAGCAUUCAAAAUGUUGCCUGGUACAUGGGAGAAAUAGAAAGCCACUCUGAAAAUAAAUUGUUUCCUCCUGCCCCCAAUCCAUCCUCAAAAUAGUAAGAGGAUGCUUAGUAUUUUUCAAAUGCUUCAAUUUUUCAUAUUUUCAGCCACCAGAGGCCAUGGUCCUAGCACCCACCACAUUGGUCUUGACUAUUACAAGCCUUAACCUGUCCUCCUCCAGUCUUCUGAGGACACAGAUCCAUCGGACCUAUUGUCGGUUCAGACUAAGAAAUUAAAACAAGACUCAGGUGCAGAGAUUUGUCCGUAAAGUCACUAUUUCCAAGGGUCCCAUUUCCAAGGGAGGCAGAUAGACUUCUGGCACCAAAAGUUGCUUAUCUGGUUCCUUAGAGCUGCAACAUUAAAUUCACUCCCAGGUAUGAAUCAAACCGUCAGGCAUUCUUUCUAUCUGCUGCCAGGAACAAAGGUGAAAACCAGCUCAGGUGAGUUCCUCAGAAUAUACUCUAUCCUUCAAGAGAACUACCGCCUGUCUUACCUCUUCCCUAGACAGCUAU
This 1898-nucleotide long non-coding RNA is filed under the name Canis lupus familiaris (dog). Its description in RNAcentral is "lncRNA (ENSCAFG00000040014.3)". Lineage: Eukaryota; Metazoa; Chordata; Mammalia; Carnivora; Canidae. The record is from RNAcentral.